Molecule: ribosomal RNA, 409 nt
Filed under: uncultured bacterium
Lineage: Bacteria
Description: bacterial SSU rRNA
Rfam family: Bacterial small subunit ribosomal RNA
Source: RNAcentral
AAUGGGCGCAAGCCUGAUCCAGCAAUGCCGCGUGUGUGAAGAAGGCCUGCGGGUUGUAAAGCACUUUCAGUGGGGAAGAACGGGCCAAGGUUAAUACCCCUGGCUUCUGACGUUACCCACAGAAGAAGCACCGGCUAACUCCGUGCCAGCAGCCGCGGUGAUACGGAGGGUGCAAGCGUUAAUCGGAAUCACUGGGCGUAAAGCGCACGUAGGCGGCCCGUUAAGUCAGAUGUGAAACCCCUGGGCUCAACCUGGGAAUGGCAUUUGAUACUAGCGGGCUCGAGUCUGAUAGAGGGGGGUGGAAUUCAGGUGUAGCGGUGAAAUGCGUAGAUAUCUGGAGGAACACCGGUGGCGAAGGCGGCCCCCUGGAUCAUGACUGACGCUGAGGUGCGAAAGCGUGGGGAGCAAA